Molecule: ribosomal RNA, 465 nt
Filed under: uncultured Klebsiella sp.
Lineage: Bacteria; Pseudomonadati; Pseudomonadota; Gammaproteobacteria; Enterobacterales; Enterobacteriaceae
Description: bacterial SSU rRNA
Rfam family: Bacterial small subunit ribosomal RNA
Source: RNAcentral
CCUACGGGUGGCAGCAGUGGGGAAUAUUGCACAAUGGGCGCAAGCCUGAUGCAGCCAUGCCGCGUGUGUGAAGAAGGCCUUCGGGUUGUAAAGCACUUUCAGCGGGGAGGAAGGCGUUAAGGUUAAUAACCUUGGCGAUUGACGUUACCUGCAGAAGAAGCACCGGCUAACUCUGUGCCAGCAGCCGCGGUAAUACGGAGGGUGCAAGCGUUAAUCGGAAUUACUGGGCGUAAAGCGCACGCAGGCGGUCUGUCAAGUCGGAUGUGAAAUCCCCGGGCUCAACCUGGGAACUGCAUUCGAAACUGGCAGGCUAGAGUCUUGUAGAGGGGGGUAGAAUGCCAGGUGUAGCGGUGAAAUGCGUAGAGAUCUGGAGGAAUACCGGUGGCGAAGGCGGCCCCCUGGACAAAGACUGACGCUCAGGUGCGAAAGCGUGGGGAGCAAACAGGAUUAGAUACCCGAGUAGUC